GACGAACGCUGGCGGCGUGCCUAAUACAUGCAAGUCGAACGCAGUGGGGACGGGUGAGUAACACGUGGGUAACCUCCCAUCAGAGGGGAUAACACUGGGAAACAGGUGCUAAACCGAUACUGAUGGAUGAACCCGCUGUGCAUUAGCUAGUUGGUGAGGUAAAGGCUCACCAAGGCGACGAUGCAUAGCCGGCCUGAGAGGAUGAUCGGCCACACUGGAACUGAGACACGGCCCAGACUCCUACGGGAGGCAGCAGUGGGGAAUCUUCGGCAAUGGACGAAAGUCUGACCGAGCCACGCCGCGUGAGUGAAGAAGGUUUUCGGAUCGUAAAGCUCUGUUGUUAGAGAAGCGUUAUCUAUCCAGAAAGCCACGGCUAACUACGUGCCAGCCGCCGCGGUAAUUC
RNAcentral lists this ribosomal RNA (403 nucleotides) under uncultured bacterium. RNAcentral's name for it is "partial 16S ribosomal RNA". It matches the Rfam family "Bacterial small subunit ribosomal RNA", at positions 28 to 526 of the family's 1533-position model. The record is from RNAcentral.